AAGUGGACACUCAUCCUUUUUACUUAGAGUUAAUGUCAAGUCUAUAUAGUACAGUACCUACAUUGUCUCCUGGAGAGCAAAAUUGAUAAACAUGAUUUUAAAUCUAGGACUCUUUUUCCAGACCUGUGAAUGAAGACUCAGAGCCCUCGGAGGCCAAUGGUUCUGGCAGGUCUCAUGGCAUCUACGUGAACAGAUGGUCUCCAACACCUUCUGAGUCAGCGAGCACCAUUACAGCAAGUCAUUUUACUUGGGGUACCCAGACAUUCCAAUGACCUUGUGAAAGGAGAUGAGGGAAUCUGAAGAGGAAGUUAUGUUUAACAGGAUAAUAAAUAUAUCUACUGAAGCCUCUUCUUUAUGGAAAACAUACACGCUUUUCCAAUUUCUGGGAUCUUGAAUCUAGAAGGCCAUCGUGACACUAACUGCUGGAAGCAAGGUGGAAACAGUUGGCACAAUGGGAUGCCCACAGGUUUUGGACUCAAAUCUGUAGUACAAAUUCCAGUUGUACAAUUUACAAGCUAAGAUGAAUCUGAUGUCCACACAAGUCAGUUGCCCAAAUUCACAUCACUGACUCCACCGAAAACCAUUAUAGACUUGAGCAAGACAGUGGCAGAGUGAAGAUGCAAAUUCACCUCUUUCUUGUACUCUCAGCAGAGCAAGAGAACGUAGCCUGUCUUGAACAUGUAGAACCAGGAAAACAGCUGUGAUCUGUGUGGAAGCAGCGGAUAGUUUUAAGAAAAGGAAAACUGAAACUGCUUCCACCCCUCCUGAAAGUCAUUGCUAAAGAAUUUUCAUUUCUGCGGUCCUGAGAACCAGAGAAAUAUGAAUUCAAAUUAUCUUCAGGGAUUCAUACUUCUUCCAUGCACCCCAUGCAUCUGCAUGAACAGUGGCUCUGCUCAGGACUCUCUGUCUUGCCAGUGAUUAAUUCAGGAACAUGAUCCUACUAUGAAUGGAAGUGAUGAUGAUCAUAUUUUGAGCUCAUUCUGCUAUGUCCUGCCCCAUGCUCCUGUGUCCAUGACCUGUCUCUUUGUUGAAUAACUGCAAGAUGCUCCAAGAACU
This is a long non-coding RNA of Talpa occidentalis (Iberian mole), 1056 nucleotides long. RefSeq lists it as uncharacterized. NCBI's taxonomy places the organism in Eukaryota, Metazoa, Chordata, Mammalia, Eulipotyphla, Talpidae. The record is from RefSeq and is a predicted model, not a curated record. The transcript has 11 exons.